RNAcentral lists this long non-coding RNA (1041 nucleotides) under Homo sapiens (human). RNAcentral's name for it is "HSALNT0048396". Lineage: Eukaryota; Metazoa; Chordata; Mammalia; Primates; Hominidae. The record is from RNAcentral.
CGCACAUCCCGCGGACACCGACCCCAGAUGUAAAGCGGGACCCCAGCCCCUCGCCCCCCGGCGCGAUCGACAGUCUCGCCAGCGUCUCCUCUGCCAAAACCCAGGGCUGGAAGAUGUGGCAGCCGGCCACGGAGCGCCUGCAGCAUGUUGGUGUUCCAGCUGACUCUCCCAUCUGGCUCAGUCCUCUGAGACCUUUUCCAGCCCUGUAUCACAGUGCCUGGCUCCAGCCUCCAUGGCCAGUAGACUCAGGAGAUAUUGCUGUUGAAAGGCCGCCUGCUCUGCCUGGGGGAUCAUACUCCUGUCAGCCGCCUGCCCUGCCCAGGGGAUCAUACUCCUGUCAGCCACCUGCCCUGCCUGGGGGAUCAUACUCCUGUCAUAGCAGUUGAAGUUGCCCCUCUUCUGCCAAAGUCUUUCCUGGUAUCCAGUUGCAAUGAGUCAUCCCUUUCUUCUGGGUGUCCACAGUUUGUUCUUCUGCUUCAGUUAUACCAUUCAGCUCAUUCUUGUUUUUCUUUUUAUUGGAAUUAUGUGUGGACUUCUAUCUUCCAAAAGCCUAGAAGCUGAGGGCUGGGUCUUUGUUCAUCUUUGUGUGCCCCAUUGCACAUGGAAUAAUACUUGGAAUACAAGGCCGGCAACACCAUACAAGCUCAGUGAAUAUAUUUAUGUCAUGCUUCAAUAAACUAAUGAUAUUUUAUAAUUUAUUUUUUGUCAUCUCUCUUAAUUUCUGUGGAUGGAAAGGUAAGAGAUAGAGUGGCAUAAUGAGCAUGCUAAGAGAAGAAUUUUACUUUUGUGUUGAGAGAGGUAUUUUUCUUACAUUUAUCUUUAGAGCCACAUGUUAAUGGGGGAAAAUGCACAAUUCUAUGUGUUUAUAUUAAACUUUUUUGAAAUGUGUUCUGGAUUUUCUUGACAUUUAAAUAAAGAUAUUAUACAUUGCAGAUAGCUUGUACCCAAGUUAUUUCUACUUACUAUUAGGGACAUUCCCUUUGUUAUAUUUAAUUUCAGGAAUGCAAGAGAUGGCAAUAGUUGGAGCUAUUCAUAAAUGGC